UCCGAUAUGGUGUAGGGGUUAGCAUUGGUCGCUUUCAUUCUCAGUUUCUGAGACAAGUGCCGACUAGACCCGGGUUCGAUUCCCGGUAUCGGAA
Molecule: non-coding RNA, 94 nt
Organism: Pyronema domesticum
Lineage: Eukaryota; Fungi; Ascomycota; Pezizomycetes; Pezizales; Pyronemataceae
Source: the annotation of a GenBank genome assembly